Molecule: ribosomal RNA, 428 nt
Filed under: Bacteroidota bacterium
Lineage: Bacteria; Pseudomonadati; Bacteroidota
Description: Bacteroidetes bacterium partial 16S ribosomal RNA
Rfam family: Bacterial small subunit ribosomal RNA
Source: RNAcentral
UAGGGAAUCUUCCGCAAUGGACGCAAGUCUGACGGAGCAACGCCGCGUGAGUGAAGAAGGAUUUCGGUUCGUAAAACUCUGUUGUUAGAGAAGAACAGCGCAUAGAGUAACUGUUAUGCGUGUGACGGUAUCUAACCAGAAAGCCACGGCUAACUACGUGCCAGCAGCCGCGGUAAUACGUAGGUGGCAAGCGUUGUCCGGAUUUAUUGGGCGUAAAGCGAGCGCAGGCGGUUAGAAAAGUCUGACGUGAAAGGCAGUGGCUCAACCAUUGUAGGCUUUGGAAACUGUUUAACUUGAGUGCAGAAGGGGAGAGUGGAAUUCCAUGUGUAGCGGUGAAAUGCGUAGAUAUAUGGAGGAACACCGGUGGCGAAAGCGGCUCUCUGGUCUGUAACUGACGCUGAGGCUCGAAAGCGUGGGGAGCGAACAGG